RNAcentral lists this ribosomal RNA (518 nucleotides) under uncultured bacterium. Its description in RNAcentral is "bacterial SSU rRNA". It matches the Rfam family "Bacterial small subunit ribosomal RNA", at positions 777 to 1297 of the family's 1533-position model. The record is from RNAcentral.
AAUAGAUACCCUGGUAGUCCACGCCCUAAACGAUGAUAACUCGAUGUUUGCGAUACACAGUAAGCGUCUUAGCGAAAGCGUUAAGUUAUCCACCUGGGGAGUACGGUCGCAAGAUUGAAACUCAAAGGAAUUGACGGGGGGCCCGCACAAGCGGAGGAGCAUGUGGUUUAAUUCGAUGAUACGCGAGGAACCUUACCCGGGCUUGAAAGUUAGUGAAUGAGACAGAGACGUCUCAGUCCUUCGGGACACGAAACUAGGUGCUGCAUGGCUGUCGUCAGCUCGUGCCGUGAGGUGUUGGGUUAAGUCCCGCAACGUAGCGCAACCCCUAUGUUUAGUUGCCAGCAUGUAAUGAUGGGGACUCUAAACAGACUGCCUGUGCAAACAGAGAGGAAGGUGGGGACGACGUCAAGUCAUCAUGGCCCUUACGUCCGGGGCUACACACGUGCUACAAUGGAUGGUACAGCGGGCAGCUACAUAGCAAUAUGAUGCUAAUCUCUAAAAGCCAUUCACAGUUCGGU